GAGGAUGUAGCUCAAGCAGUAGAGUGCUUGCCUGGCAUGUACAAGGUUCUGGGUUCAACCCCUAGUAUCUUCU
Molecule: transfer RNA, 73 nt
Filed under: Camelus bactrianus (Bactrian camel)
Lineage: Eukaryota; Metazoa; Chordata; Mammalia; Artiodactyla; Camelidae
Also listed under: 2 other names
Rfam family: tRNA
About the family: Transfer RNA (tRNA) molecules are approximately 80 nucleotides in length. Their secondary structure includes four short double-helical elements and three loops (D, anti-codon, and T loops).
Source: Rfam by way of RNAcentral